UGCCGGAUCUCAGCCAAGUUGACGCGGUCUGUAAGAAUUGUUAUAGGUUAUAAGAAGUAAAUAUGUUAAUAUAGGAAGUAAAUAUUGAUAGAUGGGUUAGUUACUUAAUUUUAGGGAUUGUAUAAUCAUAGGCUUGAUUUUCCUUCCUAUUUAGAUAAUGUCCCUCAUGUAUAAAUAGGUUGUAAUCUUUAUUGUGAUAUAACAAUAAAUAUUAUCUUUCUACAUGGUAUCAGAGCCUUUCUCGUAGAGAUAUAUUUUUUUUCUCUCUUGUCAAGCUUUAAAUUUUUUUUUUUUGAGACUUAGGGCUCUGUUCAUUUGGGUUACCCAUAAAGUGUAACAUUUGGAUCUCACCAUCGCUGGAGUUGCCACACCGUCCCCUUAUCAGAUCUGAGGUUUGUUUGCCAUUCAGGUGUUGGGUGGAGGUGUUUUUUUUUUGCGGUACUGUUCAUCAGUACUAUUCACGGGUACUGUUUAUCGAUACUGUUGAAUAAGAAUCAGCGCACACAAAUGGCGCAUAUGGCAGUUGAAGCUCCUUCAGAUCAGGGAAUUUUAAUAUCUACAAAUGAGUAUGCACAAUUCAUCCAAUACCAGGCAUCUCUGAAAUCCUCUAAUUCCUCCUCUAUCACUGCAAUUGCCGAGUCAGGUAACUCUAUUGCAUGUCUUGUAUCUUCAUCCUCCAAAUGGGUUAUUGAUUUUGGUGCUACCGACCAUAUGUCAGGUAAUUCUACCCUUUUGUCCAAUCUCGAGUCUCAUGCAUCGCCUUCUUAUAUUACUCUUGUUGAUGGUACUAAAUCUUUUGUCAUGGGUUCUGGUCAUGUCAACUUAACUCCUUCUCUUUCUGUAUCCUCUGUGUUAUAUCUCCCUAAGUUCGCAUUUAAUUUGCUUUUUGUUAGUAAACUCACUCGUGCAUUGAAUUGUUGUGUCUCAUUCUUUCCUGAUCACUGUAUUUUUCAGAAUCUUUCGACGAAGCAGAUUAUUGGUAGAGGGCGUGAGUCAGAGGGUCUCUACGUCUUGGAUCAGCAACUACCUAGAUCUCUUGCAUAUUCCACGCGUUUAAGACCUUUUGAUGUUCAUUGUCGUUUGGGGCAUCCUUCUCUCUCGGCUUUGAAGAGGUUAUAUCCACAGUUUCAUUAUUUGUCUGUUUUAGAUUGUGAGUCUUGUCAAUUUGCCAAAUAUCAUCGUUUACCUUCAGUGUCUCGAGUCAAUAAACGGGCUUCGUCCCCCUUUGAGUUAGUACAUUCAGAUGUUUGGGGUCCUUGUCCUACUGUGUCUAAAUCUGGCUUUAAGUACUUUGUUACUUUUGUUGAUGACUUUUCUCGUACUACUUGGUUAUUUUUAAUGAAGAGUCAUUUAAAAUUAUUUUCUAUCUUUUGUGCGUUUCAUGCUAAAAUCCAAACCCAAUUCAAUAUUCCCAUUCGUAUGUUGCAAAGUGAUAAUGCUAAAGAGUAUCUCUCUGGAGAAUUUCAAUCUUAUUUAUUACAAAAAGGGAUUCUUCAUCAGUCCUCUUGUGUUGACACUCUUUCACAAAAUGCAGUUGCCGACAGAAAAAAUCGACAUCUUCUUAAAGUAGCCAGAGCCCUCUUAUUCGAAAUGAAAGUACCUAAAUGUUUUUGGGCUGAUGCUGUAUCUACGGCUUAUUUUUUUAUCAAUCACAUGCCUUCCUCCAUCCUUCAUGGUGAUAUUCCUUAUAAUAUUUUGUUUCCCACUAAAUCUUUAUUUCCUAUUGAGCCACGUAUCUUUGGGUGUACUUGUUUUGUUCGUGAUGUUCGUCCACAGGUUACUAAAUUGGAUCCCAAAUCACUCAAAUGUGUCUUCCUUGGCUACUCUCGACGUCAAAAAGGGUAUCAUUGUUUUUCUUCUUAUUUGAAUCGGUAUCUUGUGUCUACGGAUGUAACAUUUUUUGAGUCCACUCCGUUUUUUCCACCAUGUUAUACACUGUUCGCUCUCUGUCUCCUCAGACUACUACACUUUUCGCUCAUGUGCCAAGUCGCCCUCCCAUCUUUCAUGUGUAUUCCAAACGCUUAGAGGACUCUGACGCCGCUCCACUACCCGCUUCUUCGUUGACAGAUCCUGCUCCCACUGAUCCUUCACUGUCUGAUUUGGAUUUGCCCAUUGCUCUUCGCGAGGGUAAACGUACUUGCACUUAUCCUAUUUCAACUUGUGUCUCUUAUGAUCAAUUAUCCUCUUCUUCUCGUUGUUUUGCCACUGCUUUAGAUUCUAUUUCAGUUCCCAAAAUUGUUAUUGAGGCUUUGUCCCAUCCUGGUUGGCGUGCUGCAAUGGAAGAGGAAAUGAUGGCUCUUAACACUAAUGGUACUUGGGAAUUGAUAUCCUUGCCCCCAGGAAAGCGGGCUAUUGGGUGCAAAUGGGUGUUUGCCGUGAAAGUAAAUCCUGAUAGAUCUGUUGCUCGCCUCAAGGCCCGUUUAGUGGCCAAAGGUUAUGCACAAACUUGUGGAGUUGACUAUUCUGAUACAUUUUCCCCAGUUGCCAAGCCCACAUCUGUUCGAUUGUUUAUUUCCUUGGCAGCUACACAUGAUUGGCCUUUGCAUCAACUGGAUAUUAAAAAUGCUUUUCUUCAUGGUGAUCUUCAGGAGGAGGUUUAUAUUGAGCAACCACCUGGUUUUGUUGCUCAGGGGAAGUCAGGCAAGGUUUGUAGACUUCGAAAAUCCCUUUAUGGCUUGAAACAAAGUCCUCGGGCAUGGUUUGGCAAGUUUAGUGAGGUGGUCCAACAGUUUGGAAUGAAGAUGAGUAAGUGCGAUCACUCAGUGUUUUAUAAAAAUUUUGAUAGUGGAGUAAUUCUGCUUGUAGUAUAUGUGGAUGAUAUCGUUAUCACAGGAAGUGACAUUGCUGCCAUCACAUCCCUAAAAGAAUUUCUUAAAACACAAUUUCAUACAAAGGAUUUGGGUUCAUUGAAAUAUUUCUUGGGAAUCGACGUUAUGCGGUGUAAGAAAGGCAUUUUCUUGUCUUAAAGAAAAUAUGUUCUUGAUUUGUUAGCAGAAACAGGAAAAUUGGGUGCUAAGCCUUGUAGUGCUCCAAUGACCCCUAACCUUCAACUUACCACAGAAGACAGUGAGCCAUUUGCAGAUCCUGAAAGGUAUAGAAGAUUAGUUGGCAAGCUGAAUUAUUUGACGGUGACUCGUCCUGAUAUUGCAUAUUCAGCGAGAGUGGUAAGUCAGUUUAUGUCCUCUCCUACUGUUGCCCAGUGGGAUGCUUUGGGACAGAUUCUUUAUUACCUUAAAGGGGCCCCAGGGUGAGGGCUAUUCUAUGGUAACCAUGGACACUCAAAUAUUGAAUGCUUUUCUGAUACUGAUUGGGCAAGCUCGAAGGUAGAUAGGAGGUCAACUACUUGGUAUUGUGUCUUUGUGGGAGGUAACUUGGUCUCAUGGAAAAGUAAGAAGCAAAAUGUGGUCUCCCGUUCUAGUGCUGAAUCUGAAUAUCGAGCCAUGGCACAAGCUGUUUGUGAAGUCUUAUGGGUACGUCAACUAUUAGAAGAAGUUGGAUUCACAAAUUCGGUGCCUGCUAAGUUGUGGUGUGAUAAUCAAGCAACUAUCCACAUUGCCUCUAAUCCAGUAUUUCACGAGAAGACUAAACACAUCGAGAUUGAUUGUCAUUUUGUUCGUGAAAAGGUCCAACAAAAGAUAAUAUCAACAGGACAUAUCCGAACUGGAGAACAAUUAGGAGAUAUCUUCACUAAAGCUCUAAAUGGAACUCGAGUUGAUUAUAUGUAACAAGUUGGGAAUGAUUAACAUUUAUACUCCAACUUGAGGGGGGAGUGUUAUAGGUUAUAGGAAGUAAAUAUGUUAAUAUAGGAAGUAAAUAUUGAUAGAUAGGUUAGUUACUUAAUCUUAGGGAUUGUAUAAUCAUAGGCUUGAUUUUCCUUCCUGUUUAGAUACUGUCUCUCAUGUAUAAAUAGGUUGUAAUCUUUAUUGUGAUAUAACAACAAAUAUUAUCUUUCUACAAGAACGAAGGAGAUUGUUUUGUCACUAGAGUUUCCAAACAAAACCCGUUGAAAUCCACAUGGCAAAUCAAGAAAAGCUAAUAGCUAAACAACAAAAAAGGACCAAAGGGAAAAGAGACGGUGAAAGACCUAAGAAUUGCAAACGACAUCUAAAAACCACACGAUUGAAGUCCGAAAAAGGCUGAUGCCGAUGUGAGAAGGGAAUGCGACACAAGGGCAAUUUGCCAGGCGUGAAAGAGACGUGAUAUGCAUGAGUUAACCAAACUACACAAUUAUCUCUUUAAUUCAAAGUAUUUUUAUCAUCAUAACUAGCUUCAAACAGUAGUCCUUAUGAAUAUAUGCUUAGGCAUGAUAAUAUUUUAGAAACAGCUUAAAAAGCUUCCAUCGGUG
This 4345-nucleotide long non-coding RNA is filed under the name Manihot esculenta (cassava). RNAcentral's name for it is "long non-coding RNA (MESC_LNC000673)". Lineage: Eukaryota; Viridiplantae; Streptophyta; Magnoliopsida; Malpighiales; Euphorbiaceae. The record is from RNAcentral.